This 522-nucleotide ribosomal RNA is filed under the name uncultured bacterium. RNAcentral's name for it is "bacterial SSU rRNA". It matches the Rfam family "Bacterial small subunit ribosomal RNA", at positions 777 to 1297 of the family's 1533-position model. The record is from RNAcentral.
AAUAGAUACCCAGGUAGUCCACGCCGUAAACGAUGAGUGCUAAGUGUUAGAGGGUUUCCGCCCUUUAGUGCUGCAGCUAACGCAUUAAGCACUCCGCCUGGGGAGUACGGCCGCAAGGCUGAAACUCAAAGGAAUUGACGGGGGCCCGCACAAGCGGUGGAGCAUGUGGUUUAAUUCGAAGCAACGCGAAGAACCUUACCAGGUCUUGACAUCCUCUGCCACUCCUAGAGAUAGGACGUUCCCCUUCGGGGGACAGAGUGACAGGUGGUGCAUGGUUGUCGUCAGCUCGUGUCGUGAGAUGUUGGGUUAAGUCCCGCAACGAGCGCAACCCUUGUUCUUAGUUGCCAGCAUUCAGUUGGGCACUCUAAGGAGACUGCCGGUGACAAACCGGAGGAAGGUGGGGAUGACGUCAAAUCAUCAUCGCCCCUUAUGACCGUGGGCUACACACGUGCUACAAUGGAUGGUACAAGGGCUGCGAAACCGCGAGGUUAAGCCAAUCCCAUAAACCAUUCUCAGUUCGGA